UAGGGUAUAGUGAAGUAGGUAUCACAGAGAAAUUUGAGUUCUUAUAGAUAGGUUCGAUUCCUAUUACUCUAG
This 72-nucleotide transfer RNA is filed under the name Paraechinus micropus (Indian hedgehog). RNAcentral describes it as "tRNA-Gln". It matches the Rfam family "tRNA". From Rfam's summary of the family: Transfer RNA (tRNA) molecules are approximately 80 nucleotides in length. Their secondary structure includes four short double-helical elements and three loops (D, anti-codon, and T loops). Further hydrogen bonds mediate the characteristic L-shaped molecular structure. tRNAs have two regions of fundamental functional importance: the anti-codon, which is responsible for specific mRNA codon recognition, and the 3' end, to which the tRNAs corresponding amino acid is attached (by aminoacyl-tRNA synthetases). tRNAs cope with the degeneracy of the genetic code in two manners: having more than one tRNA (with a specific anti-codon) for a particular amino acid; and 'wobble' base-pairing, i.e. permitting non-standard base-pairing at the 3rd anti-codon position. The record is from RNAcentral. RNAcentral also lists the same sequence under 1 other name. Lineage: Eukaryota; Metazoa; Chordata; Mammalia; Eulipotyphla; Erinaceidae.